Molecule: ribosomal RNA, 482 nt
Filed under: uncultured bacterium
Lineage: Bacteria
Description: bacterial SSU rRNA
Rfam family: Bacterial small subunit ribosomal RNA
Source: RNAcentral
AUGAACGCUAGCGGCAGGCUUAACACAUGCAAGUCGAGGGGCAGCAUAUCCAGCAAUGGGUGAUGGCGACCGGCGGAAGGGUGCGUAACGCGUGAGCAACAUACCUGUAUCAGGGGGAUAAUCCAGGGAAACUUGGUCUAAUACCCCAUAGCAAUUGGAGGGGGCAUCUUUUUCAAUUUAAAGCUUAGGUGGAUACGGAUUGGCUCGCGUGACAUUAGCUGGAUGGUAGGGUAACGGCCUACCAUGGCAACGAUGUCUAGGGGUUCUGAGAGGAAGAUCCCCCACACUGGAACUGAGACACGGUCCAGACUCCUACGGGAGGCAGCAGUGAGGAAUAUUGGACAAUGGAUGGAAAUCUGAUCCAGCCAUGCCGCGUGCAGGAAGACGGCCCUAUGGGUUGUAAACUGCUUUUAUACGGGAGCAAUAAGGUCUACGAGUAGGCCGAUGAGAGUACCGUAUGAAUAAGCACCGGCUAACUCCGU